Molecule: ribosomal RNA, 406 nt
Filed under: uncultured bacterium
Lineage: Bacteria
Description: partial 16S ribosomal RNA
Rfam family: Bacterial small subunit ribosomal RNA
Source: RNAcentral
AUUGAACGCUGGCGGCAGGCCUAACACAUGCAAGUCGAACGAGUGGCGGACGGGUGAGUAAUGUCGGGGAAACUGCCCGAUGGAGGGGGAUAACUACUGGAAACGGUAGCUAAUACCGCAUAACCUCGGAUGUGCCCAGAUGGGAUUAGCUAGGAGGUGGGGUAACGGCUCACCUAGGCUACGGUCCCUAGCUGGUCUGAGAGGAUGACCAGCCACACUGGAAUUGAGACACGGUCCAGACUCCUAGGGGAGGAAGCAGUGGGGAAUAUUGCACAAGUGGCGCAAUCCUGCGACAGCCAUGCCGCGUGUAUGAAGAAGGCCUUCGGGUUGUAAAGUACUUUCAGCGAGAGGACGUUACUCGCAGAAGAAGCACCGGCUCACUCCGUGCCAGCGGCCGCGGUGAUUC